Molecule: ribosomal RNA, 406 nt
Filed under: uncultured bacterium
Lineage: Bacteria
Description: partial 16S ribosomal RNA
Rfam family: Bacterial small subunit ribosomal RNA
Source: RNAcentral
AUUGAACGCUGGUGGCAGGCCUAACACAUGCAAGUCGAGCGAGCGGCGGACGGGUGAGUAAUGUCUGUGAAACUGCCUGAUGGAGGGGGAUAACUACUGGAAACGGUAGCUAAUACCGCAUACCAUCAGAUGUGCCCCGAUGGGAUUAGCUAGUAGGUUGGGUAAUGGCCCACCAAGGCGACGAUCCCUAGCCGGUCUGAGAGGAUGACCAGCCACACUGGAACUGAGACACGGUCCAGACUCCUACGGGAGGCAGCAGUGGGGAAUAUUGCACAAUGGGCGCAAGCCUGAUGCAGCCAUGCCGCGUGUGUGAAGAAGGCCUUCGGGUUGUAAAGCACUUUCAGCGGGGAGGCGUUACCAGCAGAAGAAGCACUGGCUAACUCCGUGCCAGCAGCCGCGGUAAUUC